This 440-nucleotide ribosomal RNA is filed under the name uncultured bacterium. RNAcentral's name for it is "bacterial SSU rRNA". It matches the Rfam family "Bacterial small subunit ribosomal RNA", at positions 338 to 777 of the family's 1533-position model. The record is from RNAcentral.
CCUACGGGUGGCUGCAGUCGAGAAUCUUCGGCAAUGGGCGAAAGCCUGACCGAGCGAUGCCGCGUGUGGGAUGAAGGCCCUCGGGUUGUAAACCACUGUCGUAGGGGAGGAAGGUCCGCCGAAGAGGCGGAUUUGACCUAUCCUAGGAGGAAGUACGGGCUAAGUUCGUGCCAGCAGCCGCGGUAACACGAACCGUACGAACGUUAUUCGGAAUUACUGGGCUUAAAGGGUUUGUAGGCGGCCAUGUAAGUGGGGUGUGAAAUCCCUCGGCUCAACCGAGGAACGGCGCCCCAUACUGCAUGGCUUGAGGGAGACAGGGGUAAGCGGAACUGAUGGUGGAGCGGUGAAAUGCGUUGAUAUCAUCAGGAACACCGGUGGCGAAAGCGGCUUACUGGGUCUCUUCUGACGCUGAGGAACGAAAGCUAGGGUAGCGAACGGGA